This is an RNA transcript of Stegostoma tigrinum, 7424 nucleotides long. It is a transcript of the gene named TOX high mobility group box family member 3, with no coding region annotated. The record is from RefSeq and is a predicted model, not a curated record. NCBI's taxonomy places the organism in Eukaryota, Metazoa, Chordata, Chondrichthyes, Orectolobiformes, Stegostomatidae. The transcript has 8 exons.
CUGCCUUUCAGAGGCUUUACUUAUUCAUUACUCUCAGGGAGCACUGUACCAGGAGCAGCUUCUGAGCUUUUCAGCGCUUUAGAGUACAAACUGUGACCGUUGGGUGGAAGACUUGGACUCCUGUUAGUAACCCCUGGCUUUAAAUUCUACAAGGACUGCUCUUUAAUCUUGCCAGCCCAGCUGGCUGCGUGUGCGUGAUUAGAUAUGGACGGCUGGAAGUGCUGUUUUAAGAGUUAACAGGAAAGAAAGCUUGGACCCUCCUCCGCCUCCUGCCAGGGACCCAGUUGCUGUUCCAGUUCUUAUCAUCACCCCAGAUCAGAAUCUGCAGUGGGUGAAGCUGGAAAGCAUCAGCUUAUCAGUGCUGGUCGCGUGGCUUCUUUGUGUACAGCAGCUGCUGUUGAAUGCACGGGCAAAUACUGAGGCUCAGCACUGGCCAGUUAAACACAGAACUAAGGAACACAGGAAAUACAUGUACCUCUACCUUUUCUAAACGAAAUUUAAACCACCUUACACACAAUCCCCAGGGUUACUUCUGUCCAUUACUUAUCCCCAAUUGAGUUAGCACUAAGUGGAUGCAGAAAAGAACCCCAUAAUACUCAAAGUGAUUCAUUAUUAAAGGGUUGUCAUAGUUUAAAACAACACACCAUGGAUGUACGUUUUUAUCCAGCUGCUGCUGGCAACACUAUUCCUGGAGAUCCUUCCAGCCUGGACCUCUCCCAAUGCCUGGGCUACUACAGCUACAACAAGUUUGCAGGGAACAAUAACUAUAUGAACAUGGCUGAUCCGAGUCAUACUUUUUCAACGACCAAUGAGACAUUCCACACUCCAAGCCUUGGCGAUGAAGAGUUUGAGAUUCCACCUAUCACCCCGCCGCCAGAAACAGACCCCACACUGGGGCUAACCGAUGUGGUGUCAGGUUUUCAAGGCCUUAAUGAUCUGUUGCAGUCACAAGGAAAUGAAUUCACACCCCAUUUUCCCCCACAAAGCCUGGAGCUGCCUUCCAUUACAAUAUCCAGAAGUAUUCUGGACCCAGAUGGUGGACUCCUCAGCAAUGGUUUGUCUGUGGACCUGGGACAAGCACAAGUUCCCCAGUACCACCAUGAUCCAAGCAUGGGCAUGCGGCCUGUUGUUCACAUGGCUGAUGUUAACCAAACAGGAAUGAUUCAACAUAAUCAGCUGACCACCAUUAACCAAUCACAACUCAGUGCACAACUAGGAUUGAAUUUAGGAGGUGGUAAUGUGCCCCACAAUUCGCCCUCGCCCCCUGCCAGCAAGUCAGCUACGCCAUCGCCUUCUAGCUCAGUAAAUGAUGAUGAUGCUGAGGAAUUCAACAGGGUGAGUGUUGAGAAACGAGCUGCAGUAGAUUCAGGAAAAAAACCCAAGACACCAAAGAAGAAGAAGAAGAAGGAUCCUAAUGAGCCCCAAAAACCUGUAUCAGCCUAUGCUCUAUUCUUCAGGGACACGCAAGCUGCCAUUAAAGGACAAAACCCCAAUGCCACAUUUGGAGAAGUUUCUAAAAUUGUAGCAUCUAUGUGGGACAGUCUAGGAGAGGAACAAAAACAGGUAUACAAAAGAAAAACAGAAGCCGCUAAAAAGGAAUAUUUGAAAGCGCUUGCUGCGUACCGAGCCAGCCUUGUUUCAAAGGCUGCUGCAGAAUCAGCUGAAGCACAGACCAUGCGUUCUGUUCAGCAGACCUUAGCAUCGACUAGUCUUUCAACUUCCCUUCUUAUGAAUCCAUCACUUUCCCAGCAUGCAUCUGUCUCAGCAUCAACCCAGACACUGCCAAGAGCAAUAGCCCCUAAACCAAUGAGGCUGCCCUUGCAAGGCAAUCAGCUGGUGGCAUCUGUUACCAUAGCUCCAAACAUGUCAACAAAUAUUGCCGCACCUCUGGGUACCCCUAUGGUCCCCACUCCACCUUCACCCCAGCUAAGUCCUCCACUGCAGCCUCAGCAGCACCAGAUACAGCAAAUGCAACAGCAUCAAUUGCAACACUUUCAGCAGCAUCAAAUGCAGCAGCAAAUACAACAGCAAAUGCAGCACCAGCAAAUUCAGCAGCAUCAGCACCAAAUACAGCAGCAUCAAAUGCAGCAACACCAGAUGCACCAUCAAAUGCACCAACAGCAGCUUCAGCAGCACAUGCAGCAGCAGUUGCAGCAGCAGUUGCAGCAACAGCAGAUUCAGCAGCAGUUACAGCAGAUGCAGCUACAGCACAUGCAGAAACAGCAAAUCCAGCAGCUGCAACAGCAGCACCCACCUCAGCACUCGCCACCUCAGCAUUCCCCUGUUGCCUCACAGUCAGUGGUGGCCUCACAGAUCACUUCGCCAGUGCCCACACCAUCAAGUCCACAGCCAGCUCAGCAACAACAAUCUCCACUACAAACCCAGGCCCAGACCCAAGUAUUGCCACAGGUCAGUAACUUUUAAACAUAAAAACUUCCCUGGAAGACAAGGCGGCACGAUAUUUUAAAUUGAUGCGACUAAUAUUCUCUGAAACGGAUGAUAUUUAAUAGAUUCAUGAAUCUGGUCUAUCUUUGACCUCAAACUGUUUGGUUUUUUUUAUGCGUUAAUAAAUAAAUAUGUACUUCAUGAUCUCUUCUUUGUGGUAAAAUUAUCCCAGCAUAGAUUUUUAAGAAUCAGUUAUGCAUAUUAUGCUGGUUGAAAUGUGAAGCUGAGGAUUUUUAGUUGUGAUGUACACUGUAUAAUUUUCAUUUUCUACAGUGAUACUUUGCCCUUAUUUCUUUGAAAAUGUAAAACAGUAAUCCAACAGGUUGUUUAAAUAAAAGUCAUAACAUCAAAAAAGUGUGGUAAUUGGUUCAGUCCUAUUUAAAUACUUAGGAUAUGUAUAUAUUUUAUCAAAGAACGAACGGAAGAUUAGAUCAACAAGAUUUACAUCAAAGAACAAACUUUUUUGUUUAAUUGUGACUUCUAGUAAAUGAUCUGUCUCAUUACAGAUUGUGAAUUCAGUUGGGUGAAUUGCUAGAUUAUAGAUAUGUUUAUCAUUUUAUUGGGAUUAACAUCAUUUUCACAAUGCUACCACACCAGUUAGAAGUAAACUUGCAUGGAUAGACAAUGAAUGCUGUCAGUGGCAGGUAUACCAUUCAGAUGGUAAUUUUUUUUAUUCACUCAUGGAAUGUGGGCAUUGCUGGCUGGCCAGCAUUUUAUUGCCCAUCCCCAGUUGCUCUUGAGAAGGCGAUAGUGAGCUGCUUUCUUGAACCACUGCAGUCCAUGAGUUACAGUUUGACCCACAAUGUCUUUAGGGAGAAAAUUCCAGGAUUUUGACCCAGUGACAGUGAAGGAAUGAUGAUAUGUUUCCAAGUCAAAUAUGCAGAAACGGUCCAAAGUCCACAAAAACGCACCAGCUAGUGAAUAGUGAUCUUUCCUUUUUGAUAAAUAAACAAAUAUAUUACUGGAAGGGAAAAUAAAAAUAUUGGCUCUGUAUAUGUUAAAAUUCCAUAAAUGAAUAGAUCUUAGUUGCUUUAGUUCACUCUAGAGAAAGGCUUCCAUCGUUCCUUGGUUUUGGUCAUCCUUUUAUACUCCUGAAUCCAAUAGAUAAUGCUCCUCUUAUUUUGUUUCACAAUUGGAUGGCAGUCAAGAAAGGCAGUACAUAUGCUCUAUGUACCUGUUUGUUGUUUUGCAAAUGAAUCUGCUUUCCUAGCUCCAGUGACUAUUGUUUGUUAAAAUAAAGAAUCUGAAAUUAGUUUAUUUGUUCUGAAACAGAAACUGUAUAAGAAACUCUUGCCAAAUGGAGUUACGUGUGCUUUACAUUUUACAAACAAUAGUUUUUGUUGGAAGUUGCUUGUGUCACAUUGAUCACAAAUUUGUACUGAUAACCCUUCCCACUUAGCCGUCCAGAAAACAUCCCAGUGUUACAUAGUGCUUGGCAACCCAUUGCCCUGCACCCAAAAGCGGAAUGAAUGGAUUUUCAUUGAUGCACAUAAAUGUCCAUUUAGAAAUGUUUAAAAUAAUUUAAGAAAAUGUAUUGUAGAAAUAGCAUCCAUUACAACAAAUUGUAUGUUCCUGUAAAUAGAUCACAGUCGUAGAAUAUCUUUUUGGUUGUUUCCUUUCACACUAGUAAAUGAAUCUGUAAUUUGUAUUAAUAGCGUUGAGAAAGUACUGAGCACCUUUGUGCAUAUUGCCUGCGCACAGAUGGGAUUAGCAGUUCACAUUAUUUCAUUUCUCAUCCAAGUGCAUCAGAAAUGAGGCUGCCAUCGUAAUGCUUUCUGGAACAGCAUGGCUGCUGUCCCCAGCUGUCUCCAGUGAUUAAUUACAGCAUCUGUCCUGUCAGAAGCUAUAGUGAAGAAGUCUGGUUAAAAUUGCAAAUGAGCGCUGGCAACAACCUUAAACUGCUGAUGAUAAAAUGAAAAUUAAAAACAGCAAGUGUCAUGCAUGACUGGAAUCCCAAUACACACUGGGGACAUGCUAUAGUAUGUGUCCGUAGCUACCAGCUAUUAGUUAUAAACAGAAAUUAAAAUAAUGAGCACUCACAAAAUAGCAGGUAUUCUGUUGAGCCCGGACCACAUUGUUUCAUUGAUAAGGAAACAUGAAUUUUGUCUGUGUUCUGCAACCAUGCAGCAUUUUGAUCCUUGUGUACAAAUAUUUAAUAGCGCAGUGUUGAUCUGAUUAAAUUCUUAAAUUCAUUGCUUGGAAUAAAUUAGAUGAGAAGGAGAGAAAGAUUUGUGUGUGGAACUUAUCUCUCCAAUUUACGUUUCAUCUGCUAUCAGAAAAUUAAUAUGAAUUAGACAAUGUCGCUGUAGAAAGAUAAUCCAGCCCAAAUCAGCUUUUGUAUUUUAUUGCCAGGUAUAAUUACAUUUUUGUCUUUUGACAAGCGUAAUAUGAUUCGUAGUUUAAUUUAUGCUUAUUUUUGUCUAUUUCAGAAAUUAAAGCUUGCAUGACUCAUUCUACCCUAGGGAAAUUAGAUGUCGACCAUAUAAAAUUAUAAUGUGAUAUCUCACUUGUGUAACACAAGUUUUUUAAUCCUUUAUUGCCUAUUCAUGACACAUAUAUUUUAGAUUUUAAAAAUAUACAAUGAGUUUCAUUUUUUCACUCAGAGUUCAAAUAAUUCUAUUUAUUUUCAUGGAAUGCACCAUGAGAAGAUACUUUCUCAUGUCAGUGGAAAGCUGUGUCUUCAUUCCCUUUAAACAGUUGUGACAUUAUUUGAAUGAACACGAAAAGUUUUAAUUAAAUUUGGCACUAGGUCAUUAAUCACUAAGUUAGAGUAUAACAGCCCCGGUGACUGUACGCAGCAUAAUUUCUGUCAGCCAUUAUCACCUGAUCCAUUGAUGUUUGCAGUAUUUCUAGACUGAUGGAUUAAAUAUCUCAGGUUUAACCAGUGUCUUCUGCCUUACUCUAUUCAAUAGUCUUUAAGCAUUUGAAAGGCUUCUUUCUAUUACCCACUUCAUGGAGUAGUUUGCAGUACUGGACUUGAGUAUAACCUUUCUUGCUCCUUUGUUUUGCUUUUGUUUUGUAACAGCUGUUAUCAUCGUUUUUGGUCAGCUGUGAUUGCUGGAGGGAAAAUAGGACCAGAUGGUGUUUUGCUAUGCAUGAAUGGAGUGUUAGAGUAGUUUGGACUGAAUAGGCCACGAUUGAAUGGUGUCUAUACACCACCUGCCCCUUAGCAGCAGUGUUUGGAUCAUAGUAGCAUGAUCUGUCUUGGACUUAGUAGGUUAGGAUGGGAAAAAAUAGAGACAAAAAUAGAGAGUUGUUGGAUUUAGCCCAUAUUUAUUGAUCAGCCGUGUGGGCAGGAGCAUAGUGCAAUAGACAGUCAAUUUGACUUAAUUGGAUAUGACACCACAUGUACAUGUAAUCUAUCAUUGUUUUCUUUCAAUACAGGUUACCUGUUUCCAUGGAAACAUGGUAUUGUCAUGAUGUAGUAUCAGAUAAAGGAAGGAGGCAGGAAUUUAGUUGAGUGUGUGUUUCUGCUUUUGUCAGUCUUUUUGUAAUUAUGUUGCAUGUAACAAAGGGACACAGAUUGUGAUUCAACAAAAAAGUAUCUCCACCCAGGUUUUCAGUGCUAACACUGCUUUGUUAAAAUGCAGAAAAAGGAUAGCAUACUUGAGCCGCAUACUGUUGAUCCAAAUUCUGAGAUUAAAGCAUGAUGCAAAAUGGUAUUUUCACUCAUUUUUAAUUUGAAUUGUAAUUACCAAUUACUGUGUGGAAUUCACAAGGACAAGCUCUCAAAAUAUAAUGCUCUUUUGAGAUGGCAUUGCUUAAAAUUGCCUCUUCUGCUGCGGAGUAUUUUGCGUUUCUAAUUUGUAUGCAAUCCUUGCCUCCUCUUGUCUGUUGGAAGCCAAAGGAUAUCUUCAUGGCGUGGGUUGCCUCUCGUAAUCAGAGCUGUACUGCUUCUGUGAAGUGAAGAUUCGCCAUCAACGUUUUGCAGCCAAAACUCGGCAUUUGUCAGACUGACUGCCAAGAAGAUGUUCUGAAAUGGCAGGCUGACAUGCUUUGUUUCCUUGUAACUACAUGGGCACAGACUUCAGAAGGCUUUCCAGUGACAGGCUGUACAGACUUUCUUUAGGCCCACCUGCCACUUCUGCCAGUGCCUGGAGAGCUAGCCAUUUUACAUUGUGUAAUGUAGCUUCAGAUGAUUAUUUUGUUUGACAUGAACUUAAAGGGCAUGGCUUUUAGUAAAUGACGUGCCUCUGCAUGAUUGCUGAAGACUUUGAGAAGACUCAGAUGGAAAAACAACUCUUCUUCUCUGACAGUGAUGUCAUUGUGCCCAGUUGAGACUUAAGAUACUGAGUGAAGCGUAUUACUUAAAUGGAAUGCUAACUACAAUUUUCUUCACAAUAGCGCAAUUGCUUUUUGAUGGUUUAAAGGAGAGUUAAGAUCUUUUGCUCAAUAAUUGUUUCCAUUUUACGAAUUGUACACAACGAUCAAGUUUAAGAAUGUUGGUUUCUCAGAUGUAAUUAUUUUCUAAGUUCUUAAGAAACCAGGUUCAUUAUGUAAUAAGCAGUCAUGUGACACUUGUAUAAUAACACCUUUUCCACUGGUAGUUUCAUCUAUUUGUUCUGCAACCAAAAAGAGUUAUUUUACUAUGUACUGUAUUGUAGGAAUUGCUUUUUGUACAGCAAUUUCUUAGCAUAGUGUGCUCAGUUUAACUGUGCCUCCUUUAAAGGAGACUUCUGUGUAUAAGGCCAAAUGCUUUAAAAAAGCUCCUCUUUAAUGCAGUAGUCAAGUUAGAGAUGGCUAGUGAAAUAGCCUGUAAACCAAAAUCAAUCAUGUUUAAUAUUUUUACUUCAGUUUGUAUUUAAUUUUUUGUAUUAAAAUUUGUGAUCUUAUUUAAGAUUUAAUUAUUGAAAAAUGAUAGUUGGUGUAUUACUGAUCGACCUUUCAGUGAAGUGUACUUGUUUCUUCACCCAGAAACAAGUGGUUUCUUUCUCUCUUGUAACUGAUCUUUUAAUUUGUUUUAUUUUGACUGUAAUAAA